Molecule: long non-coding RNA, 2103 nt
Organism: Papio anubis (olive baboon)
Lineage: Eukaryota; Metazoa; Chordata; Mammalia; Primates; Cercopithecidae
Source: Ensembl
GCUUCUUGUGUUGCCUGUUAGAAGUCCUCUAUGUGGACAGGCAUGGUGGCUCAUGUCUGUAAUCCUAGCACUUUGGGAGACUGAGGCCGGAGGAUCCCUUGGGCCCAGAAGUUCAGGACUAGCAUGGGCAACAUCGAGAGACCCAGUCUGUAUAGAAAAUUGAAAAAUUAACCAGAUGUGGUGGCGCACGCAUGUAGUCUGAGCUACUCGGGAGGUGGGAGAAUCCCUUGAGGCCAGAAGCUCAAGGAUGCAGUGAGCUAUGAUGGUGCCACGGCAUUCCGGCCUGUGCAACAGAGUGGGACCCUGUCUCAAAAAAAAAAAAAAAAAAAAAGUCCUCUAUGUACAUAACAAGCACAUUCCUCCCCUUUUAUUGCACUAAUAAAAGCUUGGUAUUCACACAGUUCUGGGCCUCCCUGAUUUUUUCUUAACUCUGUAUCUUGGGGAUUGCUUCAUAUCCACACAAGAAUAGCUACUCGACUCCCUUCCCUGAGUUCCCAUUAACUGAAUUCAUGUCGCAGGAAGAGGACUGUGGUCUGUCAACACACCUGGACAUGCCUGCUCUGCGGCCCCAUCAGACUUUGUCCCCAGGCCAUUGUAUGCUCUUCAAGUUCAUUGAAUCAUCCUAAAACUCCUUUACUACCCUCCUAACAUCAUCCAUGCUUCCUCACCUCCCUUUCCCUAAAAGAAAGGGUAUUUAACCAUCUGUACCCCAUUGCAUGGUGGGAGAAUCACACACUAAUAAAUUUAUAUGACUCUUCUCCUGUUAAUCUGCCUUUUUUUCUUUUUUUUUCUUUUUUUUUUUUUUUUUGAUACAGGGUCUCACUCUGUCACCCAGGCUGGAGUGCAGUGGUGCAGUGGUGCGAUCAUGGCUCAGUGCAACCUCCGCCACCCAGGCUCAAGUGAUCCUCCCACCUCAGGCUCCAGAGCAGCUAGGACAACAGUUGCAAGCCACCACACCCAGCUAAUUUUUGUAUUUUUUGUAUAGACAGGGUUUCACUAUGUUGCCCAGGCUGUUCUCGAACUCCUGAGCUCAAGUGAUCUGCCCACUUCAGCCUCUCAAAGUGCUGAGAUUACCAGUUAGGAGCCACCACACCCGACUCCAGUGAUUUUUUAAAUUAUUAAAUGAAUAAACAAUUUCUAACCUCUGGGAAGAAAAGAUAAAUUCACAGUGUCCGGGCUUUCUGUUUGAAGUUGAGGCUGUUCGAAGUCAGCAGGGGGGAACAUUCCAGACAGUGGCUGCUCCUGCUCGGUCUCAGCCAGGGCCCCUUCUUCGUUCCUCAGGCUCUGCUCCUGGGACUCCUCCUGGACUCCCCGCAGUCCUCAGCCCUGGUCUCCCCAUCCAAUCAAUCACCAGGUCCUGUUGACUCGACUUUUUCUUUCCUUUCUGGUUGGCCAGCCCGUCUAUCUGUAGGACACUGUUUCUCCAGGACCUGUUCUCUAAAGGGAGUGACCUGUAUUCUGAAGAUAUUUGUGGAAAUGUCCCCAUACAGGAGACGUCAGUUUUGGCCGUUUGUCUACCUACUCUUUGGUUUGCUAUGUGGCCCUGAGAAAGUAAUAAAGUAUUACACGAGAUGCUCUGUAUAUUAGUUUGCUGUUACCUCAUAAUAAUCUACCUCCAAAUUCAGUGACUAAUGCAGCAGUUAAUUGUUUAGCACAUGUCUGAGGGGUGGCUGAAUAUGACUGACCUAAGCUAGCCCAGGCUAGGGGACUCUGUGGAUGUCCUCGUGUGUCCGCAGGUGGGCUGGGGAGCUCGGGCUGUGCUCAGCUGCGGCCGCUCUGCUCCAGUUUUCCUGUCCUCCUUGGACGGCGGCCCAGCCCCGCCAGUUCUCAGGGUGAUGCUGACUCUGCUUCUGUUCAGCUGUUGUCUCUUGGUGAAGUUACCAUCAUCGCUUGCCUGGAAUGCCACACCCAAUCCCCAUUCCUCCAAAAAGCUGGUCUCCCUGCAUCUCUCCCAGUGUAUCCCCUCAAAAUCAGAUGUGACCUUUUAAAAAAAUACAAACCUUGGCGGGGGCGGUGGUAGCUCACGCCUGUAAUCCCAGCACUUUGGGAGGCCAAGGCAGGCGGAUCAUCUGGGGUCAGGAGUUCAAGACCAGCCUGGCCAAC